Molecule: long non-coding RNA, 542 nt
Organism: Parambassis ranga (Indian glassy fish)
Lineage: Eukaryota; Metazoa; Chordata; Actinopteri; Ambassidae
Source: Ensembl
GGAGUGGCCGCCUGUAUAAAGAUGCUCGAGCCUCAGAUGACUCCCACAGUCAUGGAGCUCCUGCUGCGCGCGUGUCUCCUCCUGCUGGCUGCGCUCACGUUCGUUGAUGGAUCCGCUGUCAGAGUCGUUGUCCAGUGACGCCAUCUUACCCUGUUCUCCCAGCACCAAGGUGGACCUUAACUAUAAAAUCUUUGACUGGAAGAAAGAUGGUCAGAAGGAGGUGUUCUUUUAUGAUUCAGGCAUUCAUUACAACAACGGUCGUUCAGGUCAGGAUGAACAGUUCAGAGGACGAGUGUCAUUUUUUCCUGAUCAGCUGACGUCUGGUAACGCCUCCAUAACCAUCACAAACACAAAGACAGUCGACAGUGGAGAAUACAGCUGUGUUUUUCCACGUCUUCAUCCAGAACAAAGAUACACCGUUCAGCUUGUUGUUGACACAGUCUUAAAGGACAGAUCAAAGGAAAACACCCCAGGUGAGUCUGGAUAUUAAUGACGUCACUUAUUCACCAGUACGUGAAAUAACUGAUCAUUGAUUAGUGUAA